AUGUUUGGCUUCCCUAUCUCAAGCUUUCCGUGCACAUACCUAGGCCUGCCGCUCUCCUUGCACAAGAUUAAGCAUGGCCUACUCCUGCCUAUCAUUCAUCGAGUGGACAAGAGGUUAUCAGGUUGGCUUGCUACCUUUCUGUCUUUUGGUGGCCGCUUGACUCUAGUUAAUUCAGUCCUUGCUAGCAUCCCAAUUUAUUAUAUGCCAUGCUUCCUUUGGCCUAAGGAAUCACUUAGGAUGUUGGAAAAGUUCCUGAGGGCUUUCUUCUGGCAAGGCAGGAGCACAGUCAAGGGAGGCCAAUGCCUCGUUGCCUGGCAUUUCGUCACUCUCCCAAGAUCUGUAGGUGGUUUGGGCAUCAGGGACCUUCCUGCUCAUAACCAAGCUUUGCUCACCAAGUUUGCUGCUAGAGUUUCACAGACCUCGGAAAUCCCUUGCUUUCAAUGGUUUGCUCAGCAGUAA
This 459-nucleotide ribosomal RNA is filed under the name Triticum aestivum (bread wheat). Its description in RNAcentral is "partial small subunit ribosomal RNA". The record is from RNAcentral. Lineage: Eukaryota; Viridiplantae; Streptophyta; Magnoliopsida; Poales; Poaceae.